GGAUGGUCCAAGUACAAUGGUAUUUACAAGUAAUUGAUCGCAGCCAGUUACAAAUUUCUUUGUUCCUUUUCCACUCCCAUUCCUUUACUUGACUAUCCUUAA
Molecule: Y RNA, 102 nt
Filed under: Propithecus coquereli (Coquerel's sifaka)
Lineage: Eukaryota; Metazoa; Chordata; Mammalia; Primates; Indriidae
Description: Y RNA (ENSPCOG00000001931.1)
Rfam family: Y RNA
About the family: Y RNAs are components of the Ro ribonucleoprotein particle (Ro RNP), in association with Ro60 and La proteins. The Y RNAs and Ro60 and La proteins are well conserved, but the function of the Ro RNP is not known.
Source: Rfam by way of RNAcentral